AUGGAGCGCGCAGGACCAUAAGGUCCUGCGCGCUUUUUUUAUCUCAAAAAACAAAACGGAAG
RNAcentral lists this small RNA (62 nucleotides) under Paenibacillus sp. P22. RNAcentral's name for it is "Termite-leu RNA". The record is from RNAcentral. Lineage: Bacteria; Bacillati; Bacillota; Bacilli; Caryophanales; Paenibacillaceae.